Long non-coding RNA from Lynx canadensis (Canada lynx), 707 nucleotides. RefSeq lists it as uncharacterized. The record is from RefSeq and is a predicted model, not a curated record. The transcript has 3 exons. Lineage: Eukaryota; Metazoa; Chordata; Mammalia; Carnivora; Felidae.
CUCCCCAGCCACCGGCAAGUGUCACUCUAGUCUCCGUCCCUGUGAAUUUGACCACUCUGGGCACCUCAGGAAAGGCUCCCGCCCUCCCUCGAGGGACAUACCUCCAGGAACAUCACUGGCUUGAACUCCUGUUCCAAAUACCUGUUCUGAAACUCGGUCACCAGUUGGACCACUAGGACUGAGAGUUCCUGACGACAAAGAGAAAAUGACAAUGUUGGAGUCGAGAGGACUUCCCGUGUGCACUACUGAGACAAAGAACUCCCUUUUAUGGAAGACGAUGCUGCUUUCCAACGAUGUGAACGGACUUGCCCAAGGUCAUCUAGACUUCAACAAAGAGGCCAAGCAGGCUGUUACCCACCCCCCCCCCACACACACACCCAUUCUACCACACGGGGGCCUCCCCAGUCUAGGUCUGCCCUUAGGGGGGUGCACAAACCACUCCCAUGUUGGGCGUUUUGUUCUAUUUGUGCAUCUCCCAGCCCGCAGCCCAGGGACCAACUCUUCCCCUUUGUCAGCCCUCUUUAGCCCUGACCCUGGUGCCUGCCACAAUCCUAGGCAAGUGGCCAACAAAUUGUUGUGGCUCAAAGGAAUUGAAGUAAUUAAGCCCGUCGGGUUAUUGCAUUAAAGUAACAACUUACUUGAUAUGUACGGAUAAUGUCAGAUCUGCUUUAGAUCCCCUGGAUUCUAAAGUAAAUGAGUUUCUGGAU